RNAcentral lists this ribosomal RNA (610 nucleotides) under Keithomyces carneus. RNAcentral describes it as "SSU rRNA". It matches the Rfam family "Eukaryotic small subunit ribosomal RNA", at positions 95 to 709 of the family's 1831-position model. Lineage: Eukaryota; Fungi; Ascomycota; Sordariomycetes; Hypocreales; Clavicipitaceae. The record is from RNAcentral.
GGCUCAUUAUAUAAGUUAUCGUUUAUUUGAUAGUACCUUACUACUUGGAUAACCGUGGUAAUUCUAGAGCUAAUACAUGCUAAAAAUCCCGACUUCGGAAGGGAUGUAUUUAUUAGAUUAAAAACCAAUGCCCUCUGGGCUCUCUGGUGAUUCAUGAUAACUUCUCGAAUCGCAUGGCCUUGCGCCGGCGAUGGUUCAUUCAAAUUUCUUCCCUAUCAACUUUCGAUGUUUGGGUAGUGGCCAAACAUGGUUGCAACGGGUAACGGAGGGUUAGGGCUCGACCCCGGAGAAGGAGCCUGAGAAACGGCUACUACAUCCAAGGAAGGCAGCAGGCGCGCAAAUUACCCAAUCCCGAUUCGGGGAGGUAGUGACAAUAAAUACUGAUACAGGGCUCUUUUGGGUCUUGUAAUUGGAAUGAGUACAAUUUAAAUCCCUUAACGAGGAACAAUUGGAGGGCAAGUCUGGUGCCAGCAGCCGCGGUAAUUCCAGCUCCAAUAGCGUAUAUUAAAGUUGUUGUGGUUAAAAAGCUCGUAGUUGAACCUUGGGCCUGGCUGGCCGGUCCGCCUCACCGCGUGUACUGGUCCGGCCGGGCCUUUCCCUCUGUGGAACC